AAUCCAUAGGUUAAUGAGGCGAACCGGGGGAACUGAAACAUCUAAGUACCCCGAGGAAAAGAAAUCAACCGAGAUUCCCCCAGUAGCGGCGAGCGAACGGGGAGGAGCCCAGAGCCUGAAUCAGCAUGUGUGUUAGUGGAAGCGUCUGGAAAGGCGCGCGAUACAGGGUGACAGCCCCGUACACAAAAGCGCAUGUGCUGUGAGCUCGAUGAGUAGGGCGGGACACGUGGUAUCCUGUCUGAAUAUGGGGGGACCAUCCUCCAAGGCUAAAUACUCCUGACUGACCGAUAGUGAACCAGUACCGUGAGGGAAAGGCGAAAAGAACCCCGGCGAGGGGAGUGAAAAAGAACCUGAAACCGUGUACGUACAAGCAGUGGGAGCCCCACCACUAAGCCAGUGGUGAACUCCACAUACGCAUCCUUUGCUGAGGAUACGGUU
This 438-nucleotide ribosomal RNA is filed under the name Salmonella enterica subsp. enterica serovar Oranienburg. Its description in RNAcentral is "partial 23S ribosomal RNA". It matches the Rfam family "Bacterial large subunit ribosomal RNA", at positions 161 to 624 of the family's 2925-position model. Lineage: Bacteria; Pseudomonadati; Pseudomonadota; Gammaproteobacteria; Enterobacterales; Enterobacteriaceae. The record is from RNAcentral.